RNAcentral lists this transfer RNA (85 nucleotides) under Felis catus (domestic cat). It matches the Rfam family "tRNA". Rfam says of the family: Transfer RNA (tRNA) molecules are approximately 80 nucleotides in length. Their secondary structure includes four short double-helical elements and three loops (D, anti-codon, and T loops). Further hydrogen bonds mediate the characteristic L-shaped molecular structure. tRNAs have two regions of fundamental functional importance: the anti-codon, which is responsible for specific mRNA codon recognition, and the 3' end, to which the tRNAs corresponding amino acid is attached (by aminoacyl-tRNA synthetases). tRNAs cope with the degeneracy of the genetic code in two manners: having more than one tRNA (with a specific anti-codon) for a particular amino acid; and 'wobble' base-pairing, i.e. permitting non-standard base-pairing at the 3rd anti-codon position. Lineage: Eukaryota; Metazoa; Chordata; Mammalia; Carnivora; Felidae. The record is from Rfam by way of RNAcentral.
GCCUGGGUGGCUCAGUCGGUUAAGCGUCCGACUUUGGCUCAGGUCAUGAUCUCGCGGUCCGUGGGUUCGAGCCCCGCAUCGGGCU